AGAGCGCGUGCGGCCGCCGAGCACAUGGGCCCGCGGGCCGGGCGGACUCGGGGCGGCGGGGCCCGGGGGAACGGCGAGGGGCCGCGAGCGAGGAUGAGCCCCGGCGCGCCCCCGCCCCGGACCCCCUCGAGUGGAUUUCCACGCAGAAAGGAUGUUGGCGGUCCCAGUGACCUGCGGAGACACGGUUGGAGCCACCUUUCA
RNAcentral lists this long non-coding RNA (201 nucleotides) under Capra hircus (goat). RNAcentral's name for it is "Pvt1 onco conserved region 1 (ENSCHIG00000003512.1)". It matches the Rfam family "Pvt1 oncogene conserved region 1". Lineage: Eukaryota; Metazoa; Chordata; Mammalia; Artiodactyla; Bovidae. The record is from RNAcentral.